CAGUAGCACUAAAGAACUCUUCUGCAGCAAAGGUGAUGAGAUUGACAAGCAACGGCUCUACAUGCCACAUGAUAGCACACUUGAUAGGAAAUUGCUUAAGCUGUAUAGUCUAAAAGAACAGCAAUCAUACACUUCCUAGCUAGCAAUGCCUAAUAUCGUCAUUAUUUGUUAGAAGUAUCUUCAGCAAGAAAUGAAAGGGUAUCUUGACUGAAAGGAGCUAUAGAUAUGGCAAAAUAUAUGAUACAAGAAAUUCAGGGGAAAAUGGAUGCCAAUACAAACCAGUUGAAGUUCCAAUUGAUGAUGCUUCAAGAAAAGUUUCUAGAUUUCAAAGACAUGAAUUCUCUCACAGAGAUACUGGGAUUGUGGAGAGAAUGAAAGCCCUCAGUAAAGAUGUUGAGUUUGGAUAAUUUUUAGAUGAGGAGGAAAAAUAAAGAACUAGAAUAACUUCACUUUCCAAGUUGAGAGAGGUAGAUAUAAUUUUAGGCUUUAUAGAUACAAUUAAGCAUGAGCAUGUAUAUUGUUGAACAUAUAUCUAUGCAUUUAGAUGUAGCAUGAACCUUGAGUCUUAUUCUUCUUUCAAAUGUCAUCCUUAUAUAUGAGGGUAAUCGAUCAACGUUCAAGGAUUCUUGAUAUGCUCCCUACUGAAAUUAACAUUAUUGUUGUUUUCUUCAUUUUUGGAUUCAUUCCACUUGCUUAUUUUCCACUCCUUUUUCUGGGGUUCACGAACAUCCACUUCUCCUGUAUCUGAUUCUGAAGUUUGUCAUGCAUUUACUCUGUUAAAAUAUGAGCUUCAGAUGUUCUUGAUAUUGCAGAACCAGACUUCUAUUCCUUUCCCAGUCAGAUUCAAGCAAUAGUUGCAAACCCUACAGAAUUCAUUUUCCAGGCCAGGCCUGAUGGGCUCGGGCCAGGACCAAGACCACCCUAAACUUAAAGCAGGACAAGAAAUCAGUCUAUUCAUCAAAAACAAAAAGUCAGUGGGUUCUAAAAACUUAAUCUAUGCACACGUGUGCCCGUGCAUGUCUCCAAACCCAGCCCGCUUUACCACCUGACCCCAUUUAUUUCCUCCAUUAUAUCUUCUUUGACACUUUCUUUCCUUUCUCUCUCUCUCUCUCUCUCUUUCUCUCUCUAUAUCUCUAUCGCCAAUCAAGCUUCCUCCCAUGGCUGACCGUGCUCCUCCUCAGCAAGCUUCAAGGCCCGACGCCACAACAUAUGUUUCCGCCUUUCUACGUAAACUCCUAGCUCAUGCUCCCAAGUCAACCCAACUCGUCGGUUUCUUGACUCUCCUCAUCUCUGGUUCCAUUCUUCUCAUCCUCUCAGGCAUCACUAUCACAGUUGCUGUUCUUAGCCUUAUCUUUUUCGCUCCUUUGAUCAUUAUUUCCAGCCCAAUAUGGCUCCCCGUCGGAAUCUUCCUCUUUCUUUCCAUUGCCGGGUUCUUGUCGAUUUGUGAGGUGGCAGUGGCGGUUGUGGGUGGAUUAUUCUGGAUGUAUAGGUAUUAUAGAGGGAUGAGUCCACCGGGUUCGGACCGGUUUGAUUAUGCUCGGAGCCGAAUCUAUGAUACGGCAAGCCAUGUGAAAGAUUAUGCUAGAGAGUAUGGUGGGUACCUACAGAGCAAGGUGAAGGACGCAGCUCCAGGGGCAUGAUGAUGACGAUAAUGAUGAUGAUGAUGAAUCAGGCCGUGUUGGCGGUGGGAGUGGAUUAUGGCGAAGUGGGUGUUUCUUUUUUUCCAAGAACUUGCUUGGGACAAAAGAGACAAGAGGGUGCUUGUUGAAAGAGAUAACUUGCGGGUGGCCUUUUUUUUAACAUCAGAAUGUGGAUCUCACAAGCCUUUUUGUCAUCCUCUGGCAAGUUUGGAAGAGCAGAAAUGCCCCUACUUUUGACAACAAGAGGCUUCCACAUGAAACAAUGAUAGCUUCAGCCAUUCAUCAUUUUGACUCUUUUUUCUGCUCUCAAAGUCAACAGGGUUCUUCUUCGACCUCUAACCCUACUUACUCCAUUUGGACCCCUCCCUCAACAAGAGGGUUCAAAGUUAAUUUUGAUGCUGCUGUAAACACGACAAAACUUAUGGGAUCAGUAGCAGCCAUUGUUCGUGAUGAACAAGGUCAAGUGACUGGAUGGCGUUGCAAAUUGUUUCCAAAUAUAGAGGAUCCCCUAGUUCUUGAAAGUUUGGCUUGUCGAGAGGAUAUUCAACUUGCCAUAGCUAAGGGUUUGGCAAAUGCUAUCAUUGAAGGUGAGGUGGUCAUCAACAGUUGCAAAGGAUAUGUGAGCUCAGUGGAAAUCCAAGGACUUAUAUCUGAUGUUAUUUUGCUAGCUGAAUCUUUAACUUCUGUUACUUUUUCUUAUGUCAGAUGAAAUUGUAACAUUGCAGCCCACUCUCUGGCUGUAAAGGCUCUUAAAGAUGAGUCCCUCUUGUUUAA
RNA transcript from Hevea brasiliensis (rubber tree), 2414 nucleotides. It is a transcript of the gene named oleosin-like, with no coding region annotated. The record is from RefSeq and is a predicted model, not a curated record. NCBI's taxonomy places the organism in Eukaryota, Viridiplantae, Streptophyta, Magnoliopsida, Malpighiales, Euphorbiaceae. The transcript has 2 exons.